ACAGAGGGGGCAAGCGUUGUUCGGAAUUACUGGGCGUAAAGGGCGCGUAGGCGGCCUGUUAAGUCGAACGUGAAAUCCCCGGGCUCAACCCGGGAACUGCGUCCGAUACUGGCAGGCUUGAAUCCGGGAGAGGGAUGCGGAAUUCCAGGUGUAGCAGUGAAAUUCGUAGAUAUUCGGAAGAACACCAGUGGCGAAGGCGACUUACUGGACACAUAUUGACGCUGAGGUGCGAAAGCGUGGGGAGCAAACAGGA
RNAcentral lists this ribosomal RNA (253 nucleotides) under uncultured prokaryote. RNAcentral describes it as "partial 16S ribosomal RNA". It matches the Rfam family "Bacterial small subunit ribosomal RNA", at positions 525 to 777 of the family's 1533-position model. The record is from RNAcentral.